Molecule: transfer RNA, 83 nt
Filed under: Nocardioidaceae bacterium
Lineage: Bacteria; Bacillati; Actinomycetota; Actinomycetes; Propionibacteriales; Nocardioidaceae
Description: tRNA-Leu
Rfam family: tRNA
About the family: Transfer RNA (tRNA) molecules are approximately 80 nucleotides in length. Their secondary structure includes four short double-helical elements and three loops (D, anti-codon, and T loops).
Source: RNAcentral
GCCGGGUUGAUGGAACUGGUAUACAUAGCGCUCUCAAAAGGCGCCGUCCUAAGGACAUGGGGGUUCGAAUCCCCCACCCGGCA